AUUGAACGCUGGCGGCAUGCUUUACACAUGCAAGUCGAACGGCAGCGCGGGCUUCGGCCUGGCGGCGAGUGGCGAACGGGUGAGUAAUACAUCGGAACGUGCCCAGUAGUGGGGGAUAGCUCGGCGAAAGCCGGAUUAGUACCGCAUACGACCUGAGGGUGAAAGCGGGGGAUCUUCGGACCUCGCGCUAUUGGAGCGGCCGAUGGCAGAUUAGCUAGUUGGUGGGGUAAAGGCCUACCAAGGCGACGAUCUGUAGCUGGUCUGAGAGGACGACCAGCCACACUGGGACUGAGACACGGCCCAGACUCCUACGGGAGGCAGCAGUGGGGAGUUUUGGACAAUGGGCGAAAGCCUGAUCCAGCAAUGCCGCGUGUGUGAUGAAGGCCUUCGGGUUGUAAAGCACUUUUGGCGGGAACGAAAAGGACUGUGCCAAUACCACGGUUCGAUGACGGUACCCGCAGAAUAAGCACCGGCUAACUACGUG
Molecule: ribosomal RNA, 484 nt
Filed under: uncultured bacterium
Lineage: Bacteria
Description: partial 16S ribosomal RNA
Rfam family: Bacterial small subunit ribosomal RNA
Source: RNAcentral